Molecule: ribosomal RNA, 267 nt
Filed under: Methylobacterium sp. UNC300MFChir4.1
Lineage: Bacteria; Pseudomonadati; Pseudomonadota; Alphaproteobacteria; Hyphomicrobiales; Methylobacteriaceae
Description: 23S rRNA. Bacterial LSU
Rfam family: Bacterial large subunit ribosomal RNA
Source: RNAcentral
CGUGGGUGUAGGAGGUUUGAGAGGCUUUGUCCCUAGUACGAGAGGACCGGGAUGAACGUACCUCUGGUGGAGCUGUUGUCGCGCCAGCGGCAGUGCAGCAUAGCUAUGUACGGACGGGAUAACCGCUGAAGGCAUCUAAGCGGGAAACCCCCCUUAAAACGAGACCUCCCUUGAGGGCCGUGGAAGACGACCACGUCGAUAGGCCGGGGGUGCAAGCGCAGCGACGCGUUGAGCCGACCGGUACUAAUCGCCCGAUUGGCUUGAUCG